Long non-coding RNA from Hemicordylus capensis (graceful crag lizard), 1522 nucleotides. RefSeq lists it as uncharacterized. Lineage: Eukaryota; Metazoa; Chordata; Lepidosauria; Squamata; Cordylidae. The record is from RefSeq and is a predicted model, not a curated record. The transcript is spliced from 3 exons.
GCAGGGAGAGAAGAGCUCUGCAGUUUGCAGGCUGCUCCGAUCCUAGGCCUCGCGGAUCCUAGGCCGGAGCUGGAGGCAAGGAAGACAGCACCCAACUGAAAGAACUCAUGAAAGAGAAACAUUAAGGACGGGUGCUGAAGUGUUUUAUUACAAGAGAUUAAACUGGUAUGAUGGAAGCAGUGUUGCCCAAGGGACACUCACCUGUUAAAGUGCCACCAUCAACGUUGUCAGUAAUAAUUUAAAAAAGAGAGAGUCCUAAGUAGAGAACAGAUGCACGAACACCCCUGGAGCCAAAUGCAUUAUGGAGACACGCUGUUAUCACACUCCUUGAGACUGCCAUUUUCACCUGCUCAUGUGCCAUUUUCACCUGUAGAUUGCUGGCAAGGUGCUUUUCUUGCAGAACCGAGACAUUUUUCAAGUUCAAACCCAACCUUGUAACUGUGAUGUAAAUGUCGUUAUUCCUACCCACCCCUUCCCACCAUGUUUUAACCAAUGUGUGUUGUUCAUAAAUGAAUGUUUUAAAGUUAUUUUACUUCAGUUUAUAGCUUUACUAUUGUCUGAAUGUAGAAGCACUUAGAUGAAUUCUCGUUACUGUGUGCACCACUAAUUCUUAUACAGCCCUGCCAGAAAGAGACUCAUUUGUCUCAAUGGGGUUUUGUGCUAAUGCAGUGCUUUGAGAACUGAUCUGCUUCACGUUGUUAUAAAAGAGCUUAGGGCUUGUACUCAGGAAGAUUGGUUUAACUACAUAGCUUCAACUGCACUGGAAUGCAUGUAAGUGCUGGUGGGGUUGGUGUGGAGAGGCGCACAUAGCUGAAACUUGUCCUAGUUCCCUGUGAAGACCUGGGCCUGCAUAGGAACAUAGGAAGCUGCCACAUACCGAGUCAGACCAUAAGUCCAUCUAGCUCAGUAUUGUCUACCCAGACUGGCAGUGGCUUCUCCAAGGCUGCAGGCAGGAAUCUUGCAGGCCUUGGAGAUGCCAGGGAGGGAAAUUGGAACCUUCUGCUCUUCCCAGAGCGGCUCCAUCCCUUAAGGGGAAUACCUUACAGGGCUCACACAUCGUCUCCCAUUCAUAUGCAACCAGGGUGGACCCUGCUUAGCUAAGGGGACAAGUCAUGCUUGCUACUCCUCUCAUCAGGCUGCUUGCAGCUACUCCCAGGAUACCAGCAGUGAUCUUAACUGUAGAGCUGGGGUAAAGGAGAGGCCUGGAAGCAGGGAGGUUUCCCAGUGGACUGCACUGCUCUCAUGGUACAUUAUGGGAUACUUGUUGGCCCAGCUUCCUACCCACUCCUACUCCUGGAGGAGGUGGGCUCAUUGCAGCACUGUUCGUGUGGGUGCGUGUGUGGUGGAGCCCAGAAGCUACUCGAAUAAUCUGGAGGAAGGCAGUGUUGUAUUCAAUCUAGCUAUCUUUUAUUUUUUGUUAAUUAGAAGUUUGUUCCAGGGGGAUUGUGUAGAGAAUGUGGAGUCAGGAAUGAAAGGAGAAGGAGAAAAAUGGAGUUGUUUCUGAAUAAAGCUUAGUUAAACA